CCAGGAAAGAAUUAUUCAAGCCCUUCCCAGAAGGUAUCCUUCUGGCAAGGGUACUGUACUAAACUAACUAAAGUGGGGGAUAGUGAGGGGAUAAAUUUUCUUAAGGAACUCGGCAAAAUCCCAAUGGCCCACCAGGGCAUAUUGGAACACGGGCCUCGACUGUUUACCAAAAACAUAGCCCUCGGCUAAUAUGAAAAUAGAUGUAUAGAGGGUGAUGCCUGCCCAAUGGUUGUAUCUAAAAGCGGUUGAUAAAAGUUGACCUCGUAAGGACAAUUGAAUGGCCGCGGUAACACUGACCGUGAUAAUGUAGCGUAAUCAAUAGCCAAUUAAUUGUUGGCCAGUAUGAAUGGCGCCACGAAGGCCCCACUGUCUUAAGGAAAUUCCCAGUGAAAUUGAAUUCGUAGUGAAGAUGCUACGUCCAAUUUGUUAGACGAAAAGACCCCGUUGAGCUUUACUGGAGCACUUACAUGGCCCCGGCCUUCCCAUGCCUGGGAACCGGCCGAAUUUAAAUGGGCGGCUUAGAUUAUGUGGCAGCCCCCCGCUGGGGCAAAUGAAACACCACUCCCCCAUGUCAAAGGGGCUAACCCCCCCCCUUGGGGGGACAGUGUAAGUAGGACAGUUUGGUUGGGGCGACCACCUUUUAAAAAGUAACGAAGGUGCGCUUAAGGUGCGCAAUUAAUGACUGAAGCCUGACUGCGAGGGGGACACCCCGAGCAGACACCCCAAAGCCCGCCCGAAAGGCGGCGGUGGGGUGGGCCAUAGUGACCCGUUAAUUUAGAGUGGAAUAGUUAACGAUCAACGAAUAAAAGUUACCACGGGGAUAACAGCGUAAUAUCGUUAGAGAGUUCACAUCGACGACGAUGUUUGCGACCUCGAUGUUGAAUUGCGGCAUCCUGGGGUGCAGC
This 905-nucleotide ribosomal RNA is filed under the name Zoanthus sociatus. Its description in RNAcentral is "partial large subunit ribosomal RNA". It matches the Rfam family "Bacterial large subunit ribosomal RNA", at positions 1583 to 2559 of the family's 2925-position model. The record is from RNAcentral. Lineage: Eukaryota; Metazoa; Cnidaria; Anthozoa; Zoantharia; Zoanthidae.